This 67-nucleotide transfer RNA is filed under the name Agathobaculum butyriciproducens. It matches the Rfam family "tRNA", at positions 5 to 66 of the family's 71-position model. Rfam says of the family: Transfer RNA (tRNA) molecules are approximately 80 nucleotides in length. Their secondary structure includes four short double-helical elements and three loops (D, anti-codon, and T loops). Lineage: Bacteria; Bacillati; Bacillota; Clostridia; Eubacteriales; Butyricicoccaceae. The record is from RNAcentral.
CAAUAGCUCAGUUGGUAGAGCACUCGCCUUUUAAGCGAGGGCGCGUGGGUUCGAAUCCCGCUUGGCG